GUGGAACAUUGCGUUGGACGUGCUUUUUUUCCCUCCCCUCCCUACACCCACGGUCACGCGCAUACAAGCACAUAUGCCCUCCCCACGCAAUGUGAGCGCGCACACGCCAAUCGCUCGACACCGUGGCGCGCAGACAUAAGCAGACACUUCGCAGCAGAACUGCAUCGAGGACGUCCACCGUCGCAACUUUUUUUUUUCUUCCGUGGAGAAUCCUCUUGGAGGUCACAGGAAUCCUUAACAGACAGACUUGCACGGAUGGGACGGCUUUUUUUCUGUGGCAUCUCCGUAAAGUUGCGCGCAAUCCGGGAGCCUGGGCGCAAACUUUAGAAGCCUUCCACUGCGUCUUGAACAGUAUAUACUUGUGCAUCAUGAAGACAGGGGAGUCAGUUGCGGAGUGAGUUCCAGGUGCCGCUGGGAAGAGGAGACUCCGGAGCAAGUCGUGAGCUGUGCGGCAGAUGCGCUACGCAGGAGCGCACCGAUGUGACAACAUGGGCGCAUUGCUGUAUAAUGGCCGGAUGACAAGCCUCCUCUUUCCUCUGCUGCUACUAUUGCAACCCCCCCUCCUGCUCAGCUUUGGAGAGCGCACAUGCCCAAACAACUGCAGAUGUGAAGGGAAAACAGUGCAUUGUGAUUCGUCUGGACUGCUCGACGUCCCAGAGAACAUAUCCGUAGGAUGUCAGGGCCUCUCCUUGCGCUACAACGAACUGCACACACUGCUGCCAUAUCAGUUCGCUCAUCUCAAUCAGCUCCUCUGGAUAUAUUUGGAUCACAAUCAGAUUUCAUCUGUUGACAGCCGAGCCUUUCAAGGUGUGCGCAGGCUAAAAGAGCUCAUCAUGAGCUCCAACAAAAUCACGUCCCUGCACAACUCCACAUUCCAUGGAAUUCCCAAUCUCCGCAGUCUCGAUUUGUCGAACAACAAGUUGGAAGUCUUGCAGCCGGGACAAUUCCAUGGACUACGGAAGAUGCAAAACUUACACCUUCGCUCCAACGGUCUCUCCAACAUUCCCAUCCGAGCCUUCCUGGAGUGCAGGAGUCUGGAGUUUCUCGAUUUAGGCUACAAUCGGAUAAAGAUUCUCACUCGCACUACCUUUUUGGGACUACAGAAACUAAUGGAGUUACACCUCGAGCAUAAUCAGUUCUCUCGGAUAAACUUUUUUCUUUUUCCACGCUUGGCAAACCUAAGGUCACUAUAUCUGCAGUGGAACAGGAUCCGGGUGGUGAACCAGGGGCUGCCGUGGACUUGGUAUACGCUGCAGAAACUUGAUCUUUCCGGGAACGAAAUCCAAACCCUUGACCCUGCCGUGUUUCACUGCCUGCCAAACCUUCAAGUGCUUAAUCUGGAGUCCAACAAGUUGUCCAAUGUGUCCCAGGAAGCCGUGUCAGCCUGGAUCUCUUUGACAACAAUCAGCCUCGCCGGGAACAUGUGGGAUUGUGGUCCUGGCAUUUGCCCGCUCGUGGCGUGGCUGAGAAACUUCCGUGGAACUAAAGACACUACGAUGAUAUGCAGCAGCCCAAAGUAUCUACAGGGUGAAAAAAUCAUGGAGGCCACAAGAAACCAUGGGAUUUGUGAAGAUACAGAUUACAUUUUAACCGAAACCCCUUCCCCAAUGUCUGAUCUUAUUUCUGAAGGGCCCAUUGAGCCUACCUUUGACCCCAUGGUCACCUCUCCUCUUAUGCCACAAACCAACACAUUUGGCCCUCUCCCACCUGUGAGACCUCAACCCCUUCCUCAUCCCACGGUCCCUGGACAUAUGAGCAAGGACCCCAGAAACUCUGUGGCGCGCAGUCAACCCACUCACACGCCUCCCCCAGAAAUAGAACAUAUGACUCUUCACAAGGUGGUAGUGGGCAGUGUGGCCCUCUUCUUCACCAUGUCUCUUAUGUUGACGAUAAUUUAUGUGCUGUGGCGCCGCUAUCCUGAUGCGGCCAGAUUGCUGCCUCAGAGGUCAGUGGUCGGGAGGAAGCACCGCAGAAAGAGUCCAGAGCCAGAGCAGAACCUGAGCUCUCAGCUCCAAGAGUAUUACAUGAGCUACAACCCUGCUGCGACACCAGAAGCACUGGAAGUACUGGGGAAUGGAACUGGCUCCUGCACCUGCACACUAACUAGCUCCAGAGAGUGUGAGGUAUGACCGAUCGCACAGUCAAAACUCAAAAUCAAAACACAAAGGCUCAUCAGACAGAAAAAUAUUGUAGAGCACCAUUGGUCCUGUCAACCCCAGUCUGUCACUGAGGCAGAAAGCUUUACAGAUGGAAUAAAAUGCUCAUUGGAUUCAAACCUACCUCUGGUUACCUAACCCGUCCUUACAUUUUCUUAUAUGUGUAAGAUAUAUAAAUAUGUGUCUUUGGGGAGCAGGAAGCUAUUUAACUAAUCUCUGUAUGACUUCAUAUUGAAGUACUCUUAAGUCAUUAAAAUAUUUCAACGUUCAUUGGAUGGACAUUUCUGGUGCAGUCAGAGAGUUGCAUGGUUGAUGGAGACAGUUGCAGCUUUGCGCAGACCCACACAACCAAAGAGAAGCUAACAAACAGUGAUCUGCGCUCAUAAUGCUCAGAUGGAACCCACACAAUCAGACUUCACACACAAAGGCCCCAGGUGAACCUCAGCACUCCAUCACACGUGUCCUGUGAGGAUGCACAACGGCUCGCCAUCCUUCUGCGCUGCUCAUCUACCAUGCGUUUGUAGCUCACGCCACUUCAUGAAUGUAGAAUGCAAACCAAAAUAACUGAAAUCAUGACAGUCAUCUAAGUGUCUGUCCUGCAAUCCCAACUUAACUGUCUCAUUUAUAUGUCGAAAACAUUAGUAUUUUACGACCAGAGAAUGACAGUGCUCCAUGAGGGUCCAAUAUAAUUUUAAAAUGAGCUGGUUUGGAUCCCUUUAAAUAUGACAACGGUUCAAAAAAAGCCCGGUCGAUUGUUGGACGCCUCUUGACCUGCUUUGAAAGUAGGUUUAUAUUAUUCAAGAGAAAAUGCGUGAGCCACGAUGCGGCCCUCCGCUCCGGUGUAUCUACGUGGGUCAAACAGUUGCCUAGAAAAUUGCUGCUUUUUCCCAACCCGUGUUUAAAGUCUUUAGCGUGCGACACUGAUGUCUUUUCUCAGCAUUAAAUAAUUCAAUAGCUGGUGUCAGCCUGAUUUAGCUAGAUUAAAGUGGCGUCCUGCUCGCCAUCGCAGCUGGGCUGCUUCAUUACAGCUAUGUGACUGGGCUGCCGUCCUUCUAAAAGGCUGGGAAACAAAAGGUCACCAGGUAAGAAGUAUGCAGUGAACAAUGUUUUCCGUCGCUUUGUUCGGAAGUCUUCCGGCUCAAACUUCAUCCGUCAUUUACUCCAUGUCAGGUGCUCUCACUUCAUCUCCCUGAUCAUGCUGCAUUUUAAUGCAAGUGGAGUUAGCUGGUGUUGCGCUGUCAUCAUCACUAUAUGAACAUAAUGCAUCACUCACAAUUUCCCAUGAGUUGGUAGCACAGGUCGCUCUAACCAGGAGUUAUGAGGCUGUCGCAGUUGUCAAGCGGUACAAGUGUGAACCAGUUUCUCAGUAAGGCUGAUAUGUUUAACUCCCGCAGAAUUUAUUUCCUCAUCAAACUUUUCUGGUUUCACCUUGGGCUAAUGUUUACAAUAAGUACUUUUUGCUUUAGGUUUUCAGCCAACUCUGAGUAAAUACAACUAAAAUAUUUCUUUUAAAUUGUGUAAUAUAUUGAAUAUGAAAUGUGUUUUCCACCUGCAUCCAGUUGACUGGCUGUGCUCAAGGUACUCCAGUCACAUAACACAUUCACUACUGUAGUUGACCCACAGUAAUUUUCAAAUAGUUAAUAUAUAAUAAUUUGCUGCAGCAUUGAUGACCAAUCUUCAAGGAUCUGAAGAAGGGAUUACCUGAGUGUUACUGUCGUGUUUUGUUCUCCGACUGGUGUAUCGCUCAAAUAUUUAGACGAGAUCUAAAGCAGCAAUAAAAAAAAAGACUCUCUGGUCAUUACCGACAGAAUACAACUGCUGUAACCACGAUGAGAAACUUGUGAGAUAUGUAACAAUCACCAUUAGAUCCUUGGCCAAACCGUAUGUAUUCAGCAAGUCAUCUUUUCCAAGAAUAAGAAAUUGUAAAUCUUUGAUGACAGGGAUGCUGUACAAGUUUUGUUCAAAUAAAGCAGCUCUGACAGCAGCUCAAGCAUUCAAAUCAUGAAACUUUCAACAUCCCAGGUUGUUCGACGCUGAAGUGUUUUAAAAUUUUGAUCAAGAAAAAGUCACUUCUUUAUAUAUUUUUCACGACAAACAACAGUGUUGACAAUAAAGAUGACUCUCAGAUUAUAGGACUUGAAGGAAAGGAAUAAAAAAGAGUAUUACUUUGUCUUAGAAUUUGAUUUUAAAAAAUCAGAAAAUCUCUUCAUAAUCAUACAUAAAAUAAAUGAAUAAUGGAUGAGUAUUUGCCACGAUCUCAAUACAUGUGUCCAGAACAAUGCAAGCAAUUACAAUGUCAAAUAUAGUAUUCAGAUGUCUUUUCCCAAAACAGGUCACAUUUGGAUUGGUUAUUCACGAGGUUAUUCACGCUGGUAUCGCUCCCUUCCAGUUCCGAAACAUAACUUUGCUCACAUGAAAAAAAGAAAACUGUCUCAGAUGGCAUGCUUGACUGUUGGGCGAAAACAAAUAUGAUCAGUAUGGCAACAAAAACUUUCAGAAUGCAACCCGUUUUGGCGCCAUCCCACUUUGGAUUCGCUUUCAAUGGAAAGCACCAAGCUUACAGUGUGAUCUCAAAGAUCUCCAAGCUGCUCCAGAAUUACAGCUGUGUCAGCGUGAAGGACCUCAUAGUAGUUUCCUUCCAUCUGCCUAAAAUCAUGACAAAAUAAAUGGCUUGAAAGUUGUACUAAAAAUGAAGUUAUGACUAAGAAGUCUGUUACGUCAGUAUUCCAUUAUAUCGGAAAGCUGUCCAGUUGCCUUUGAUCCACAAAUUCACCCUUAUUUCCCACUCUUCCUUCUGUUGAUGGUGUCUGUUGUUUGUUUUUCAGUCCCUCAUAUAAAAAUAAAUAAAUACAUAAAUGAAAAAAGACAUACACUAACACACUUCAUAUGCACAUUUUAUACCUCACAUUAAUAUGUGUGGAUAUUGUUUCCCAGUUAAGAUAGUGUCCGCCUUCUUUCUUAAAACUUUGUCAGACAUGUCAAAUGUAUGUGAUCUGGAAGAUCUGAGGCAGCAGAAAAUAUAUAUAUAAAUUUUAUAUGAGUAGCUGAAGCAGAUUGAGAAGGUUAGAAUAUGCAGCGGGAAAGGUGUUGGUGAUCAUCAGGGUGGCUGUUUCUGGACGACAUUGUGAAGGAAAAGACAAUUCAAGGGUCUGAAAUAAGCUGUUGGCUAGAGAGAGUUUUUUUUUUUUUCCCACGUCCACUGAAUGUUUCAGAAUUGUGGAAAGAGAAAGGCUGUCGGAGAUGGGCUGAAAACUGUCCAGCGUGUCAGAGGUUUUCUGGGCGGAUGUGACGAGUCAAGAGAUGGCAGGGAGAAAGGUCUUCAGUCAGUGCAAUAUAAUUGGAUUGAGGACUCAUGAGUUGUUCGUUUCUGCAAUUACGGGAGAAAUGCAGGCUGGCGCCGCAGGUGAAGACCAAGAAACAGCUGCCCGAGGGCUAGGAAGGGUGAGUCUGUGGACGGAGUGUGGCGGCAUAAAUGAAAGUUAAAUGAGAAUUAACCUAACUGUAUGAAAUAGAAAACAUUUGCUUUGCAUGAAAAUUGAAGUUUGUGUGGUGACAAAUUUAAGGACAGCACUUUAUUGCUGUGUAUAUGAAGUAACCACUGCCAUUGACUCUUAUUGACAGGAUAAAAUUGCAGCGAUAUUAACAGAAGAAAUGCCUAAGGGUAGGUCUUUAGCUAGAGUAGGGCAACUGAAGCUCAAUGAAGUAGUAUGUCGACUUGAAAAUAAACAAACAAAUGAUCUUCUGUCCAAUGAUCAUUGUAGUUUUCGUUGACUUUCUUUCAUGAUGAUAGCAUGGCAGUAAUGACAAGAAGAAAAUCUAUGUCUGAGGUCUGUCAGAGGUUGAAUAUGCAUGACAUUUACGGCGCAGUAACUCAAAACAAGCCUUGUUUGGCCGCAGACACCUCCUGAUAUGCAGCACAGAUUCUGCAUCAUGUAAUUCAGACCACGACAGCAGCGUCCACACAGGGGAUCUGUGGACAUACUUUCAAUAUAAUCCAGGAGAAAGAGAUAUGGAAUGCAUUUCAGAGGGGGGACGUGGAAAAUGAGGCCACAGCGCCUGACCACUCGCCACGGCGAUAUCCUUUCAAAGGCAAGUUACAAGUCCUGUAAACAUAUACGUAGCGUGACCCGUCGGCUUGUAAUGAAUUUAUUUGUCAUCUUACUCAGUACUCCGGAUACAAUGGGCAGCUACCUUCAAGCUAAAGUUAGUGUGACUGAGCUAAUAUCAUACAAACAUUUGCACAGGUGUAUCUCGCUACUAUGUGUAGAACAUGCAUGGAGAAACCGGUGUUGGCUUGGCUAGAGUUGUCUACAUUGCCCCAUGUAUGAAUGAUUGAAACAUGGAGGGAAAUAAAGCCUAUCAGCCCUGUUUUUUUAAAAAUAUGUCAUUCCUACAUUAGAUUAGACAGAUACAUUAUGAAAUCAUGUAGACUUAUAAAAGUAAUUGUAUCUCCUUUUUCUCCUUUUCUCAUCCAGAUCCAAGAGGCCAGAGCUCCAAAAGACAAACCUGACUGUCCAAAGAACGACAGGAGUGAGUACACGUGCCCUCGCCCCCUACCUGGUGCCUGGCUGGGAGACCUGACUUCUAUCCAUUAAGCGGGUGAAGGCUGCGCAGCAGGAUAUUUUGUCCUAUUAUUAAUGUCCCAGAUUUUUUUUUUAAUCACUCUACACGUGUUACAAAGGUAACAACUGGUUAAAAAGGAAAGUCAGAAGAUUUUUUUCCCCCCCAACAGAAUGUGCAAAGCCACUUGAGCAACAUGAAGAACUUUUGAUUCAAGUGGCAAGUUGCUGGUGGAAGACUUUUUUGUUUUGUUUGUUUGUUGUGUUGUUUUGUCUCACAGAGUUCUUGAUUUGUCUCUUCAUAAGACAGUUGAUCAAAGACUGCUUUUACGAGAAGCUUUAAAUGGAGAAUAAAAGAAAAAACUAUACUGAUACAGUGGCUGUGGAAAAAACAAAGCUGUGUACUAUUUGAUGAGGGUUUUACAUGACCAUGAUUUCCCUUCUCUUUUUUUGGGGUUUGUCUCAAAGGACAAUUUAUCAACUGCUUGGAUAGUUUAUAUGUGCCUCAUUAGGAAGCAGCCACUCAAGUUUUUCUAAUUGUCGGCAAAGUUUGAAACAAGAUGAGUCGACAGAAGAGUGUAAGAUAUAGCCCUGCUGUAGAAGAAAAAAAAGUCUUUUAUUUUUGCUUGUAAAAACAGCUUGUUUCAACGGAAAAGUGCUCUAUUGAAGACCUUGGUUUUACUUUUCAGGGCAGGGAUGCUUUUUCCUUGUUCAAAUUACAUUUCUGAUGUUGAUGUUUUACUUAAUGUGCUUAUGCCAUUUUUUACAUGGAUAACUGAAAUUUAUUUUUGAAAAGUUAUGAAAAAAGUCUGCCUAUUGAAGUCAAGGAUCAAAUCAUGACGUUCAAGUUUGCUUUUUGAAUUCGUAAAGACAAUGGCUUUGAAUGGGAACGUGGACUUGAAAAACGUAUAAUAAGGAGAUCAAAAGACAUCUGAAAACACGAGUUCUCGCCGGCCAAUGUUCUUAUGUGGUGGGUUUCAGAUGAGUCAGUCGAUUUGGAAUCGGAUAUUUUUGAGGCCCAAAGUUGCCACAAUAUUUAAUAGCAAAAGUGUGUAAGUUUACAACUUUAAAGGAAAACCGUCAUUUCUAAUCUGAAAAGUAAUGGGUUUUAUUUAUCUAUUUAUUUUUAUUAUUCCUGUGACCUGUGGAUCCAAAGCUAAUGUGCCCUGCAGACUCUACAAGCCUCAAGUCCGAUCUUGUCAAACAGUGCUCUUAACCCGAGUCCACCACAUGUUCAAUGUACAUGUUUUCGUGAACAGGUAAAUCUGAGACGACAGUCCAAGUUUUCUGAAACACAGUUUUCUAUAGUUCCAAAUGUUGACUACACCUCCCCUGACAUCAUCAGUCUCUCUGUUGCCUUGGAAACUGAAGAUGUGGCUCUGCACCGUUUAUUGUGUGUGCUUGUUUUUACAUCCAUAAUAAUUUUUGUAUUAUAUUUGAAGCACUCUUUAUUUCUGUUGAUCAACGGGAAAAAAGAGUGCUUCAAAUAUAGUCAGUUCAGAUAUAUCAGUUGGUCUUUGAAAAAAAGAAAAAAACUUUCUACGCUGGACGUUUUUUAAUCUAUUGUAAAUUCCUGCUUAUCCCUAUUAAAUAUGUUGAUAUUCAGUGAGCAGUUGUCUUUGUUUACUUUGCAAUAGAUUUUGAGUGUUGCUUCAUUAGCCAAGAAUGUUUUUAUCCCCCCCCCUUUUUUUGUUUUGUUUAAUGACUGGCAAAUUCAAAAAUCUUGAAACAUAUCAUACAUACUGUUUUCAAAGAUAAAAGAUUUUUUUUUCUUGGAACUCAUGAAAUUCAUGAAGGAAAUGUUUCAUAGUGCACUUUUUGUCACUUUUUCUAUCUUCCUUGAUUUAAAUUUUACUUAAAUUUUGAUUUUAUUUGAAAAUGAAAUGAUUUAAUUUGUUCUAACUUGUCCAUAAUAACACUUGUCUGUAUCACUCCAAAGGCAUCAGACAGGUUACUGGUGGUGAAAUAUAUGUACAGUUUUAACAAUCACAUGUUUAUUUAUUUCAGCAGAAUUGCCAUUUGAAGCUGUUUCUAAUUGUGGAUUAUAGCCCUAUGUUCUUUUUCGGUUUCCUUUUUUUUUGAGUUAAAAGCUAAAGUUGGAACUUUAGAUGAAGCUUUUGACUUUCAAGAUUGUUGCUGUUUUGUUCAAUGGCCUGCUGCAACACUGUUCUAUGGAGGGUUUGGCUUUCUUGUUUAUAUUUAUGUUGUGGUAGUUGUGCUUGUAAUGAUCGUGUAAUUUCUCCUACCUAUAAAGUCUGGUGACUGACAGGAAAUUAAUGAAGGAGAAUAUUCAACAUCCUGCAUAAUAAUCAUUUCACUGCAAGCAACUAAAUAAUUACCUUAGUUUUUUUUUUACCAUGGUUACAGUUUGCAUCUUUAAAAACCGCAGUGCCGGAGUACAAGCUCUCCUCACAGUGUGUUGUUCUAACUGGAGUAUCUGAAGAAAUUGAUCUUCUGAGCACCAACAUGACAUGUCAAGCUGUCAGCGCAAAAGUCCAGAUGGCCUGCAGCCUAUGACAUUUUCACACUCACAUACCAAUACACACAUUAGCAGCGAACAUCUUCAACAUGUUGCACUAUUUUGAAGCAUCAUAUCUGAUGUACCUGUAUGUAUUGCCACAUCUCUCUCUUUCAGGGGUCUGUCGAACCAAGGUUUGCUUGCUGUUGACGUUUAGCUGCUCCCUCUGGUCUUGUUAACUACUUCAUCUAGUUUUCAACUAUUUCUUCCAUCUUCUAUUACAUCUUUGUAGCAUUUUCUAUCUGCAGUAAAAACAUUGUCAACCACAGAUUUUGCUAACAGCAGCUGCGCCCCUGAUGCCUCCAAGAAACAUCCUUGAGAGUCCAGCACCAACCAUCUGGACCUCCCAGUCUGGGCAGCAAAGCAGAUCAACAUGCCAGAGACCGCUCACGAGGUGUCCACACCCGGGGAAGAAUUUUAAAUACCUCAUCUGUUGCAAAACCAAAAUGAUUCAAUCUUUCUGCUGUGUCUGGUGAACAUGACAUUUUUCAAUGGGUGUGUGUUUAAUUUCGAUUAAAUAAUCACAGUGUAUCCAUACACAGUGGUACCUCGGUUCUUGACCACAAUCAGUUCCAGAUGGCCGUUCGAAAAGCAAAUUGUUUGAAAUCUGAAUCAAUUUUUCCCAUCACAAUGAAUGGAAAAAGAAACAAUGCGUUCCAAGCCUUAAAAUAGGCUUUUGUAGGAGUGAAUGUAGAGUGUCUGCUGCAGGUGCGCUGUUCCUCUAUGUGUGUGGCCGCUGCAUGUGGGAGGGGUUGCCGAGUGAGUGACGUCUCUCCAGAAGGGAAGAGGUGCCCGGUGCGUGUCCAGCUCUGAAUGUGCGCUUCUGUGCAGUUUGGCUGUGACAAAGUCAUAAACCAAGUCACGCUCUGUCCCAGACUCGCCUCAUCCCUGUCCCAGCUCCAGCCCACAACAGGACAUCAAACCCUGGAGUGAGCGCUCCAGCCUCGGAGGUGUGGAGAGCGAGCACCUCCCCUGUGACACUCUACCACGGUCCAGUGUGGAGACAGGAAAGGUUUUACAAUAUGAAGAAAAAACUGUCAGUAAAUGUAGCUAAUGGGACACGUCUGCAUACAGAGGCUGCGUUAUACACGAUAACAAAGCGUGUCGUGUGUCAGCUGAUCAGGCCGCGUUGUGUUUUUUCCGGCUUUUUUCGAGGGCGUUCGAGUUCUGGAUUUCCGUUCGAAAUCAGAAGCAAAAAAAUCACAAAAUUUUUGUUCGAACUCUGAUUUGUUCAAAGUCCAAGACGGUUGAAAACUGAGGUGACUGGUUCAAUUCCAGCGUGGGCAAACUUUGAUCCUUUCUGCGUGGAGUUUUUUUAUUUGUUUUUUGAGCCUUAGGUAUUUUCACCUUCGCCUUCACCUUCUUCUGCCGCGUAUAGUAUCUGUAGCUGCCUACAAGCAGAUGAAUAGUCAUCCAGUAACAGUGUGAGAGGCAGAUAUACGAUUUAGCUGCUACAGGAAGGUGGUGAAUAGGGUCAGAUGUGUCAUCGCUUACCAGAUGAUGCAUGUAAAAGUGAACGCGUCUCCGGUUCUUACAUUAUCUAUUGCAGGUAAGCCAACAGUGAAUAAGUGAGUGAAUGAGCGUGGGUCAGUGAAGAGGGGAGUUGGCCGUCGUCAUGAGUGUGUGUGCAAGUGUGAAUAGAAAGUCUCUAGAAAUAGAAUAGUAAUGUAUAGCAGGCUAAUACGGCACACGAGGAAGAGGACCCUGGGGUUGUUACUUUGCUGCAUUGUGUGACAUUAAAACUUGUAUAUUGUCAUCAUCAGAAAUAUAGAGGCCACAGUGGAUUUAUUUUAUUUUAUUUAUUCAUUUUAUUAUUAUUAGAAUUUCAUCAGAUGAUGGCUGUAAAAGUGAAUG
RNA transcript from Synchiropus splendidus (mandarinfish), 11087 nucleotides. It is a transcript of the gene named leucine rich repeat transmembrane neuronal 4 like 1, with no coding region annotated. The transcript is spliced from 4 exons. Lineage: Eukaryota; Metazoa; Chordata; Actinopteri; Syngnathiformes; Callionymidae. The record is from RefSeq and is a predicted model, not a curated record.